This is a long non-coding RNA of Anneissia japonica, 1224 nucleotides long. RefSeq lists it as uncharacterized. The transcript is spliced from 2 exons. NCBI's taxonomy places the organism in Eukaryota, Metazoa, Echinodermata, Crinoidea, Comatulida, Comatulidae. The record is from RefSeq and is a predicted model, not a curated record.
CAUGCAAUCAGCAGUACAAAUUACGAUAGAACUUGACACUUUAAAGACUAACUCCAAUCAGCAGAUACUCAGUCUCAACUAUAUCGAUAUUUUCGACGAUACAAAGUGGCAUAAAAUUCAUAUACAUAACUUUAUCCGACAAUUAUUGGUUCUUGGAUAUUCAACCUAAACUAAUAUGCCUGAUAAGGAUCAACCAGCAGCUAAUGAAAAAAAAGGAUGGUUUGGAUGGUGCACAAUCCUCAGAACGGAUACUCCAACCGCAUUCUCGGAACCAAUUAACAGGCUUCACCCAUUUGUUGGAAACAUGUCACAGAAAAGCCAUUCAAGCGUUUUGGAGGACACCGGCUCGCCCUCGACAAGCCAACCAAUCUACUAGCAAGCAUUCAGAAAGUCGCAAAAGAAUCGAGUUCAUCAAUUGCAGAAGUGCAUUGUACAAUGUCAUCAUAGCACAUUAAGUUAAUAUUCAGUAUUUACAACCCACUUAAUCAUACAUAAACAAGGCUCAAACAAUUAUUUAUUUCACAUUGCUUAUAAUGUAUAUUUGUCUGGUACAUAGACUUUACGAUUACUGAGAUAUCAAUAAAGCAACUGCAUUUAUUACAUUUAAACAUAAACAAAUUGUGCAUAUGAUUAUAUUUCAGUUUAAAACUUUGUAAUCAAAAUUCUAAUCGUUAAAUUACCUCAUGUGGGAUGUAUCAUUCUUUAUUAUUAUAAUUAUUAUUAAUAGUAGUAUCAAUUCAUUAUUAUUAUCAUAUCAUUAUUGAUAUGAAAUACACUUUACAUAAGUAACGUUCCACCAGUUCAUAAUAGCUCUUGCACAAGUUUAUGAUAGUGUAAUCUAAAACAAUCUGUGGAUCAUUCAUAGCUAUAUUUUAUAUUUUCUACACAUUUUCCGAAAUUUGAGAAAUUGAGUCUGCAUUUUUUUUAGGUUUUUUUUUUCUUUUUUAAUUUUUCAAACAAUAAAAUAUUAAUGACUAAUAAUAUUCAACUAUGCUUGCCUGGCUUAUAACUGUUAUGUAAUAAUAAAAAACAUCUUAUUUGAAAUUGUUUUUAGAAACAUGUUUGUUCUUACAAUAAACUACAGAAACUUAUAAUUUAUAUAUUUAAUGGUUGCGGUACACCACGUAGAUAGCUCUGAAAAUAAUUGUUGUUUGGAGAGACUUAGACAUUGUAAACUGUCACAAAUACUGAAUGAUAAUUGGUAUAAUAUUAAUAAAUAUCAUU